RNAcentral lists this transfer RNA (53 nucleotides) under Brachymeles miriamae (Miriam's skink). RNAcentral describes it as "partial tRNA-Glx". The record is from RNAcentral. Lineage: Eukaryota; Metazoa; Chordata; Lepidosauria; Squamata; Scincidae.
GUACGGGGGGUUUUGGGCCUCCGGGUGCAGGUUCGUUUCCUGUCUUUCUAGGA